CCUACGGGAGGCAGUAGUGGGGAAUAUUGCACAAUGGGCGAAAGCCUGAUGCAGCGACGCCGCGUGAGGGAUGACGGCCUUCGGGUUGUAAACCUCUUUCAGCAGGGAAGAAGCGAAAGUGACGGUACCUGCAGAAGAAGCGCCGGCUAACUACGUGCCAGCAGCCGCGGUAAUACGUAGGGCGCAAGCGUUGUCCGGAAUUAUUGGGCGUAAAGAGCUCGUAGGCGGCUUGUCACGUCGGGUGUGAAAGCCCGGGGCUUAACCCCGGGUCUGCAUUCGAUACGGGCUAGCUAGAGUGUGGUAGGGGAGAUCGGAAUUCCUGGUGUAGCGGUGAAAUGCGCAGAUAUCAGGAGGAACACCGGUGGCGAAGGCGGAUCUCUGGGCCAUUACUGACGCUGAGGAGCGAAAGCGUGGGGAGCGAACAGGAUUAGAUACCCUGGUAGUCCACGCCGUAAACGGUGGGAACUAGGUGUUGGCGACAUUCCACGUCGUCGGUGCCGCAGCUAACGCAUUAAGUUCCCCGCCUGGGGAGUACGGCCGCAAGGCUAAAACUCAAAGGAAUUGACGG
This 568-nucleotide ribosomal RNA is filed under the name uncultured bacterium. RNAcentral describes it as "bacterial SSU rRNA". It matches the Rfam family "Bacterial small subunit ribosomal RNA", at positions 338 to 916 of the family's 1533-position model. The record is from RNAcentral.